AGUAGCCGCGGUAAUUCCAGCUCCAAUAGCGUAUAUUAAAGUUGUUGCAGUUAAAAGCUCGUAGUUGAAUUUCGGGGUCAGUAGGUUGGUCAUGCCACUGGUAUGUACUGGUCUCACUGAUUCCUCCUUCCUGAUGAACUGUAAUGCCAUUAAUUUGGUGUUGCAGGGAAUCUGGACUGUUACUUUGAAAAAUUAGAGUGUUCAAAGCAGGCCUUUGCUCGAAUACAUUAGCAUGGAAUAAUAGAAUAGGACGUGCGGUCCUAUUUUGUUGGUUUCUAGGACCGCCGUAAUGAUUAAUAGGGACAGUCGGGGGCGUCAGUAUUCAAUUGUCAGAGGUGAAAUUCUUAGAUCAAUUGAAGACUAACUACUGCGAAAGCAUUCGCCAAGGAUGUUUUCAUUAAUCAAGAACGAAAGUUAGGGGAUCGAAGACGAUCAGAUACCGUCGUAGUCUUAACCAUAAACUAUGCCGACUAGGGAUCGGAUGAUGUUAAUUUUUUAAUGACUCAUUCGGCGCCUUACGGGAAACCAAAGUG
Molecule: ribosomal RNA, 533 nt
Filed under: uncultured Glomeromycotina
Lineage: Eukaryota; Fungi; Glomeromycota
Description: SSU rRNA
Rfam family: Eukaryotic small subunit ribosomal RNA
Source: RNAcentral